GAUGAACGCUGGCGGCGUGCUUAACACAUGCAAGUCGAACGAAGCACCUUGAUUUGAUUCUUCGGAUGAAGAUCUUGGUGACUGGGUGGCGGACGGGUGAGUAACGCGUGGGUAACCUGCCUCAUACAGGGGGAUAACAGUUAGAAAUGACUGCUAAUACCGCAUAAGACCACAGCACCGCAUGGUGCAGGGGUAAAAACUCCGGUGGUAUGAGAUGGACCCGCGUCUGAUUAGGUAGUUGGUGGGGUAACGGCCUACCAAGCCGACGAUCAGUAGCCGACCUGAGAGGGUGACCGGCCACAUUGGGACUGAGACACGGCCCAAACUCCUACGGGAGGCAGCAGUGGGGAAUAUUGCACAAUGGGGGAAACCCUGAUGCAGCGACGCCGCGUGAGCGAUGAAGUAUUUCGGUAUGUAAAGCUCUAUCAGCGGGGAAGAAAAUGACGGUACCUGACUAAGAAGCACCGGCUAAAUACGUGCCAGCAGCCGCGGUAAUACGUAUGGUGCAAGUGUUAUCCGGAUUUACUGGGUGUAAAGGGAGCGUAGACGGAGUGGCAAGUCUGAUGUGAAAACCCGGGGCUCAACCCCGGGACUGCAUUGGAAACUGUCAAUCUAGAGUACCGGAGAGGUAAGCGGAAUUCCUAGUGUAGCGGUGAAAUGCGUAGAUAUUAGGAGGAACACCAGUGGCGAAGGCGGCUUACUGGACGGUAACUGACGUUGAGGCUCGAAAGCGUGGGGAGCAACAGGAUUAGAUACCCUGGUAGUCCACGCCGUAAACGAUGACUACUAGGUGUCGGGCAGCAAAGCUGUUCGGUGCCGCAGCAAACGCAAUAAGUAGUCCACCUGGGGAGUACGUUCGCAAGAAUGAAACUCAAAGGAAUUGACGGGGACCCGCACAAGCGGUGGAGCAUGUGGUUUAAUUCGAAGCAACGCGAAGAACCUUACCUGCUCUUGACAUCUCCCUGACCGGCAAGUAAUGUUGCCUUUCCUUCGGGACAGGGAUGACAGGUGGUGCAUGGUUGUCGUCAGCUCGUGUCGUGAGAUGUUGGGUUAAGUCCCGCAACGAGCGCAACCCCUAUCUUUAGUAGCCAGCGGUUCGGCCGGGCACUCUAGAGAGACUGCCAGGGAUAACCUGGAGGAAGGUGGGGAUGACGUCAAAUCAUCAUGCCCCUUAUGAGCAGGGCUACACACGUGCUACAAUGGCGUAAACAAAGGGAAGCAGAACCGCGAGGUCGAGCAAAUCCCAAAAAUAACGUCUCAGUUCGGAUUGUAGUCUGCAACUCGACUACAUGAAGCUGGAAUCGCUAGUAAUCGCGAAUCAGAAUGUCGCGGUGAAUACGUUCCCGGGCCU
RNAcentral lists this ribosomal RNA (1351 nucleotides) under uncultured bacterium. RNAcentral's name for it is "bacterial SSU rRNA". It matches the Rfam family "Bacterial small subunit ribosomal RNA", at positions 28 to 1381 of the family's 1533-position model. The record is from RNAcentral.